ACGGCUCAGUAACACGUGGAUAACCUGCCCUUGGGUCCGGCAUAACCCCGGGAAACUGGGGAUAAUUCCGGAUAACGCAUAUGUGCUGGAAUGCUUUAUGCGUAAAAUGGAUUCGUCUGCCCAAGGAUGGGUCUGCGGCCUAUCAGGUAGUAGUGGGUGUAAUGUACCUACUAGCCGACAACGGGUACGGGUUGUGAGAGCAAGAGCCCGGAGAUGGAUUCUGAGACAUGAAUCCAGGCCCUACGGGGCGCAGCAGGCGCGAAAACUUUACAAUGCGGGAAACCGUGAUAAGGGGACACCGAGUGCCAGCAUCAUAUGCUGGCUGUCCGGGUGUGUAAAAUACACCUGUUAGCAAGGGCCGGGCAAGACCGGUGCCAGCCGCCGCGGUAACACCGGCGGCCCGAGUGGUGAUCGUGAUUAUUGGGUCUAAAGGGUCCGUAGCCGGUUUGGUCAGUCCUCCGGGAAAUCUGAUAGCUCAACUAUUAGGCUUUCGGGGGAUACUGCCAGGCUUGGAACCGGGAGAGGUAAGAGGUACUACAGGGGUAGGAGUGAAAUCUUGUAAUCCCUGUGGGACCACCUGUGGCGAAGGCGUCUUACCAGAACGGGUUCGACGGUGAGGGACGAAAGCUGGGGGCACGAACCGGAUUAGAUACCCGGGUAGUCCCAGCCGUAAACGAUGCUCGCUAGGUGUCAGCAUGGCGCGACCGUGUCUGGUGCCGCAGGGAAGCCGUGAAGCGAGCCACCUGGGAAGUACGGCCGCAAGGCUGAAACUUAAAGGAAUUGGCGGGGGAG
This 792-nucleotide ribosomal RNA is filed under the name uncultured archaeon. Its description in RNAcentral is "bacterial SSU rRNA". It matches the Rfam family "Archaeal small subunit ribosomal RNA", at positions 85 to 876 of the family's 1478-position model. The record is from RNAcentral.